This is a long non-coding RNA of Lycium barbarum (goji berry), 4932 nucleotides long. RefSeq lists it as uncharacterized. NCBI's taxonomy places the organism in Eukaryota, Viridiplantae, Streptophyta, Magnoliopsida, Solanales, Solanaceae. The record is from RefSeq and is a predicted model, not a curated record. The transcript is spliced from 2 exons.
GUCACUUAGGUAGGAGAAUUUCUGAUAAGGAGCCUAGUCUCCAUCCAGUUUUCUACGUCAGCGAGAUGGGGUGCACUUAUUUUGGAAUUUUGCCAAGCUUUUCUUUGGAUCUAAAAGGAGUUUCAACUUUACAAAUUUUUAAAUAGUUAAAGCUGUUGUAAAUAAUAUUAUAAAUGAAUGUCCAUGUAUUGUAAAAUAUGUAUUUAUUUAUAUUUGGAGAACAAGGCUUGGUUGGAGACCAAUGUAACUAAGUAAUACUAAUAACUAUAGUUACUCUUGGACUAAUCUAGUUAGAAUCUAACUAGUUACUUGGUGACCAAACACUUCUCUUCCUAUAAAGAGGAAGGUUUUAUCUCCCAAGUAAGACAUCAAAAUUAUGGCAAUAAAAUCUCUCCUCAAGCUUCCUUCCUAAUUCUCUUGUUUCACUCUCAAUUUGUAUUAUUUUAUAACACCUUAUCAGCACGAAUUGCUUAAUUCAUCUUUUGUAUCAAGAAUCAAGAGUACAUGGUAGGUGCUCUUUUAACUUUCAUGGCUUCGGCCUCCUAUACCUUUUUGGCCGCCAGAGCAUGAAAUCCACCCUGCACCAUCAUUAGUUUGGAUAUCUUACAUCAGAAGAUCAUUUAAGAAACAGAGUUUAUAGUCGAGUACUAAAAAGUGAUUAUAUUUCUCAACUCUGGUUAUUAUAAGUAUAUUAAAUUGAUUAUGCUUAUGACUGACCAUGUAAUGGAUAUUCUUAUUUUAAAUAAAUAAAGCCUGAAUACUUAAAGUAUUCUUUUACAUAAGGUUCACAGUGAUUAUUAUUGAAGAAAUGUAUAAGAGAAACAUAAUUUAUAUCAUGCCUCAAAAAUUGCUCCGCAAGAGCAAUAUGAAAAAUUCGAGAGAUAUUAUGACAUGAUUUUAUGGUCCACUUUGAACUGUAAUACAGGUUACAGGAAAUGUUCGACCACAAGAAUUGAUAUAUUUCAUGUUUUGGUAAAGCUUAAUUAUUGUUAUGCAUAAAAUUAUAAAGUGGUAUUAUUUUAAAAGACUCGAGAGUGAGUCUCGGUGCACUUUGGCCUAUUAUGCUUAUUAGUUUAGGGUAAGACGGUGGAUUCAAGCUUCAUUGCACCAAGAGGGUAAGACAUCGGGUUUGAGUUCCCGUGCGCUAUGAUGAUAAUAUAAGAAGUUGGGUUCAAGUCCAUCACAUUAUGGCUUAAAACGCCUUUAGAUGGAUAAGACAUUGGGUUUAAGUACCAAUGCACGAUAUUAAUGAUAUAAUGAUGAUUAAUGCAGAAUAAUGAAUUUUUAAUAAAAGCUGUGAAGCCCGUCAGGUUUGAUAUGCUCCAUUCCCUGAAGUGAAUGUGGUAGCAGUACAUGAUAAGUCAGAAAGAUGACAAAAUAAUUAUUGUGUCCGUAUGAAUGAACGUGGACCUGACAAGGGACAAAAUAAUCGGCAUCAUUGUGAAAAUUAUAAAAGAAAGAACACUAUUGGUUCUCAAAAUGAUCCUUUGAAAGGUGAAGGUAAUAUUUGCCUCAAUGUCGUAUGAAAUGUCGUGAGCACGCGAUUGUUGUGUGACCUAAUUUGAUAAAUUAUAUAAAUCCUCCAUCAAAAGAAAGGAAUACAAAGUGGAGGCUCACUUGACCUUUCAAAGUGAUGUUGAGGUGGAUCAUAUAAAUAUGAUAAACAUUAAGACAUGACAAUGAGUUUAUAUCAAAUUUAUGAAGCACAUAUAUAAAAUUAUAGUCCAUUCCUUGAAGAGAAUGUGACUCGUGAUAAGCAUCGUGAAUGCUGGCCCAAUCUUGAAAGUGAAUUUGGCAAGAUAUGAUAAAAGAUAUGGAUAAAGACGUGCUUAUGUAUUAUGCUAGUAGCACAACUCACCUCUAGGAGAGGUUUGAGAGAAAUUGUUAUUAAGGUAUAAGUAGCCAUUGAUCAUCUUUUCGCUAAUGAUUAUUGAAGGGAAAAGGUUAAAGAAAGAAAUGAGUAUUGCCUAUAAUAAUUUUGAUCAUGAACGAAAUGAUAUAAUUUUCUCCUUUAAAGGAUAUGUUCACCGUACGGUUCGUGUUAUGAAAUAUGUGGUAGUACACAACUAACUGGGAGCUCUGAAAGAGCCAAUUUAUUACUACUUUGGAGGAAUGAAAUUGAUUGUCAAGAAAGCAUUAUAUUGUCGUAAGUCUCAAAGAAACUUAUUGAGUUUCAAAGGUAUUCGCCAAAGUGGCCAUUCAUAUUGAGACUAUAAAUGAUGGAAAGAUUUCAUAUCUUUAUAUUACUGCAGUCAUAUAGCGGGUAAGAAAUAAAUGUGAAAUGUUACCCUGCUUCCCUCCUGUUUGUACUACACAAAUAUGAGCAUGAUGAUGGAAUCACAUGCGAUGAUAAACUAGAAGUUUAUUGAAAUAAAUAUCAGUUGGCAUGACCGGUUGGCCAUUCCGGUUCUAAUGUGAUGCAAAUAUAAUUAAGAAUUCACGUGAUUAUAUAUUGAAGAAAUAAAAGAUUCUUCAAGAAUACUCUUGUGCUACUUGUUCUCAUGAUAAAUCGAACAUUAUACCAGCUAAAGUUGGGAUUGAAUUCCUCAAUUCUAGAACAUAAAAAGGUGAAUAUGGUCCCGUUCACCUGCCAUGUGGACCGCUUUACUAUUAUAUGAUUUUAAUAGAUGCAUCUAUUUUAUGGUCACAUGUGCAUUUGGUAUCAACUUGCAGUUUGGUUUUUGCAAGGUUUUUUGCUCAAACUGUUAAAUUAAGAGCAUGGUUACAAACUAUGAAAUUAUGUUGAUAAUGCUGGUUUAUAUCUAAGUUGGUUUAGCAGAAAUUACAUGCCUCUAAUUAGUUGCUAAAAAAUUGGUUAUGAGAAUAAAUCUCCCAAACAAAGUUUUGGUAUGAGAUGUGUUAUUUAAUAUAUAGCAACUUAUAUGCAUCAAGCCAACAUGGUUCCCCUAUCACAAUUGGUUCAAGGUCAGGAACCAAAUAAUUCCCAUCUAAAAAUGUGAAUGUGCGGUAUAUGAUUCAAUUGCUCCACCAUAACGCACAAAGAUGGGUCCCCAAAUAAGGUUGGGGUAAAUGUUAGAUUCCUAACAUUAGGGGGAGAGAUUAUAAGUAGCUGAAAAUAAAUAAAUUAUAUAUAAUGAAUUAUCACUAGAAUGAUCCUCCUACUAGAAUUAAAGUCCUUGAAGGAUAGAGUCUAUCGUACGCCUGUAGCGUGAUAGACCAAUCGGUUCCAAAGGUAAAUCUCCUUGAAGAAGGAGAGGAGCAAAUGGUCAAAAUGGCCAUAAUAAUGAGGCAAGUCCUUUAAAAAAGCACCACGACAUAACACUUCAUGAAACCUUGGGAAAGGUUCAGGUACCUAGAAAUGGUGAAAAAAUGAAGAGAUCUCGAUAAGUUAUGUCGCAUUGGAACCGAUCUCAAAUGACUGUCGACAAUAUCUUUGAUAUAAUGUAGCGCUCAACAUUUAAAUGGUGACGAGGAUCUUGAAUUUAAAUCUAUCAACAAAUGUGGACAGAUAGAUGAUUGGCCAAAUGAAAAUAUGCAAUUCAAGUAUAUUUGGUUUCACGUGGUAAAUAUGAAAUAUUUUGGAUCUAUAGUCCAAACAUUUGAAGAUAUAAUGUCAGUGGGAUAUAAAGAAACUUUCGAGCGAAAAGCGAGAUCAAAAAUAAAUCCAUAAGAUAUAAAGUACGGCUCGUGCCUUGUGGUAUAAAGAUUUCUCGCAAAAGUCCUGACAUUAUUGUAUGGAGAUUGUUCUCCUGUGGUGGAUGCAAUGAGGUAUCAUGUAGUAUGGAAGUGCAUGAAAAAAAGACUUGAAUGCGUAUAAUGAAAUAUUUUCAUGUAUAGUGAAGUUUAUAUGAAAAUUCUUAAAGGAUUUAAAAGGUCUUAAAGCGAUUCCAUUGAGUAUGCCAAUGGCAGUAAAAUCGCUUAACAUAAAGAAAGAUCAAUUUUAGAUCUCACGAAAAUGGUCAGCAAGUACCAUCUCUUAGUGCAAUUGAUGCACUUAUGUAUCCUGCUAUUAUUAUCUAUGAGAUAAUGCUUUUAUUGAUAUGCAAGCAAGAUAUAACCGUACUCUACCCGUGGAGACAUCAUAAGGAACCAAAUAGUGAUAUAAAUUUAUUAUUUCUAACCAAUAUUAUCAAAGGUUUGUUGGUUAUGAAAUGCAGGGCAGCAUUUAUAUGAUCUCUAUAAAAUUCGAGCUCAAACAAAUUAUAUGUGUGCAUAUAUGGGUGUUGUCAUAUCAUUCGUUCUAUAAGGCAGUCAGUUAUUGCUAACUCUUCAAAAAUGUGAAGGAGGCAGUCAGUUAUUGCUAACUCUUCAAAAAUGCAAAGGAUUCUCCUUGAAGAAUGAAGUUCCACUACAUUAUAUGAAGACAAUGUUGCUUGAACAUAAUUCAACUGAAAGAAUGAUACAUUGAAGGUGAAACGCGAGAAAUAUAUCUCGCCGAAAAUUAUUUUCCAGAUGAUCGUCAAAAUAGCGGUGAAAGUAUAUUCAAGAAAUUCAAGUGACAAGUCAGCAGAUUUAUUAACUAAGGCAUCAUCGACCUCAACAUUUGAGAAGAUGGUAAACAAGACUGGGAUGCGCCGACUCCGAGAAAUAAAGUGAUGUUUUCAUUAGGGGGAGUGAAAUACGCGUUGUACUCUUUUUUCCUUAGCUAAGGUUUUGUCCCAUUGGGUUUUCCUGGCAAGGUUUUUAAUGAGGCUGCUAUCAAGAUGUAUUAUUAGAUAUGUGUACUCAUUUUACUUCACUAGGACUUUUUCCCACAGGUUUUUCCCAUUAAGGUUUUAACGAGACACAUUAUCUAUUAAUGGACAUUCAAGGGGGAGUGUUAUAAAUAAUAUUAUAAGUGAAUGUCCAUGUAUUGUAAAAUAUGUAUUUAUUUAUACUUGGAGAGCAAGGUUUGAUUGGAGACCAAUGUAACUAAGUAAUAACUAUAGUUACUAUUGGACUAAUCUAGUUAGAAUCUAACUAGUUACUUGG